Phrynosoma platyrhinos (Desert horned lizard) is the source of this 71-nucleotide non-coding RNA. Lineage: Eukaryota; Metazoa; Chordata; Lepidosauria; Squamata; Phrynosomatidae. The record is from the annotation of a GenBank genome assembly.
GCCAGCAUGGUAUAAUGGUUUGAAAGCUCGGCUACAACUCUGGAGACCAGGGUUCAAAUCCCUGCUUGGCC